GCGUGUAGGGUGUCCCCAGGCCCCCCAGCCGUGGCUGUCCCGAGAUGUGCUGAGGAGCCGAGGGCGCCCGUGACCGUGGAUGUGAGAGAUCAUCUCCAAGUCCGUCCCAAGUCCGUGGGAGGAAAGCACUGGGCCUCUGCAAGCUCCUCGGCCCGGACCCACCCGGCCCGGGCCCAGCCCCGCGAGGGAGGCGCCGUCGGCGCUCAGUGGCCGCCCUGGGGCUUGUCCUCAAACCCGCUCUCUCCCUUGCCGAGGCCGGGAUGGCCGUUCCCGUCGGUAGGAAGUUCAUCUCCGAGCGGACAAGCUUCAGCGCUGCGCCAGCCCACCUGCGCUCUGGAUACCGGCACGGCUGAGUCUCCUGUCCUCAGAAAUCCAGGGCUCGCCUCACAGCCCAGAGAGUCGUCUGUGCCCUCUGGCUGUCACUUCUUAUCUGGGGACACGGGCCGAGGAACUCAGCCUGUCCCACGUGGUUGCUUCCCAUCGUGUCUCCUCAGAUCCAUGUGCCUCGAGUUGUCACCUCCCAGUCGGCAGUAAAUAUCCUUGAGUGAAACGCAAACACACCUCACCCACACUCCUCAUGGAAUGACACUGAGGAUGAACAUCCUGCUGGGACGUUUUUACUCCGGUGGUUCUGGAAUCGAGGUCUUCCAUUCUGCCCCGGUCACCCGGCCGUGAGAAGCUGGGUGCCACAGACACACCUGGAACUCCAGUGAAGGCCACUGUGGUCACCUCCUCCGUGCUGUCCUCUCGUGGGUGGACGAGGCCACCGCAGUCCCGGGGGCGCCCCAGGCUCACAUCCAGGGUGACCCUCGCUCCUUCCCCUUCCUGGCCCCCUCUGCCCAGUUAGCCACCCCGUGCCCCACCGUCACACCUUAGUCUCAGUGUCCCGGGUCUCCUGGUGCGGUUCGCAGGUGGUCCCUCCGGAGCAGACACCCGUCCGGUCGUGCCUGGGACCGCUCACAGCCGAGGGGUGGCUGUGACCUUCCAAACGCAGACAGGCCCCGGAGACUCUGCUUUCUGGGGCCCACAGACGACCCCGAGGUCAUCAGAGUUUGCAUCACAGAGCUCUGCGUCCUGGAGAGGCCUCAGAAGUGAGCGGGUGAGACCCGAGGAGAGAAGAGGCCUGCCCAAGGCCGCCUCUGCAAGGUGGGUGGUGGCCCUUGACCCGUCCGCCGCGGCCCCGCGAAGGUGCUGCAAGCACCGCUUUCUCCCGUGGGACGUGGACGGGGCUUAGCGCCGACGGCUAGCCCGAGGGAGACGUUCACACACGUGUCUGGUUUCGUAUCGACCCCCUUUGGUAGAAGCGCCUUGAGCCCGAGGCGCCACACUCCGGUCGGCCGAGAGGUGCAGGCGUGAGGGGAGACCUCGUGUUGGGGGGACAGGGCAGCAAGGCCCCGCGGGGCUGUGAUCCUGGGUGACCUGCCUCCUCCCCAGGGCCGGCGAGGACAACAUGACCUCUCGCGGGCUCUGCUCGCUCCGUGUCCCUUCAUGCCCGGCCGUGGAACGGGGCCCGGGAGCUGCCGUUGGGUGAGCCCCCGAUGCUGGACGCAGCACAGCGGCCUCCUGUGGGUUGGGGCACGGGGUCUUUUUGCAACGGGGGUGACUGGGCGAAUGGUAUAUUUCCUAAACACUGUUUGCAAACGUGAUGUGUGCCUGCUAGAAAUUACUCCUUUCUUCCUCUUGCCUGCUCUCCCCCCGCCGAAACGCCGACCUGGAAAGCAUCAACGUUGCUCUCACAUGAAGCAUUUUUUCAGGCCUGACACGGAAAGCUCUGAUGUAGAAAUUGAAAUUUCACACUCUGCAGGGCCCAAAUGGCUCCAGAGGUCAGCAGGCGGCUUUCGCGUCCGCCCACUGGUGAGUCAUGGGGAGAGAUGCCGCCCCAAAUUAGCAUCCGCAGACACUCGUGCGUCAGAGUUCUGUGCGCUAAAAAGUUUGCCUGACAUCUGUGUCCCCCCCAACCCCAGCACAUACUCAACAAUUUUAAGCCGAGGGGCACGUCCCACUCAUCUGGUGAAUACAUCAGCUGAAUGCAAUCUGCUUCACAAACAGAUGUGUGUGUUGGGGGGCACUGAACACUGGUUAGAAGUUGCCGGAAGGUUCUUUAUGAGGUUCUUGUUUUGUGGGUUGGGGAGUGGAAUGGCCAGAGAGUUGACUUUAAUCGAAACACACCUAAUUUGAAUGCUUGAGCUAGGUAUCUAGAAAGAUUUUUUCAAGUCCCCGUCCAAAAGAAGGGUUUCUGUUUUUCAUCUGCUUACUUGGGCUUCCCGAUCUGUUUUCCUGAAAAGACCAACAAGAGGUAGAGAGGGAUUGGCGGCCGACCCCGGCUGGCUUGAAUGCUGGGACGGGGCGUGGUCUCGCAGAGCCCCCCGUGUGAUCGACCCUCCGGCUGCAUGUACGGAGCCAAGCUGCCACGUCCUGGUGGCAUUGCCCUUUUGAGCCACAAUCACUUGCUUAUUCCUGUGUGUUCGUUCUUCUUUUGUUUGGGGCCCGGGUCUAGACUUUGGCCAUGAGCAGUGCACACGGCAGCGGGCAUGUGGGUGAUGCAGAGGCGGCCACAGCUCAGACGUCUGCUCCCCACGGAGGCUGCAAACUGCAUUCCGGACCUUGCUUUAUCACUCGCAUUCUUCAUGUGUUAGCAACUUUCCCCCUCCUUCACGCAAACCUCAGAUGUCUCGGAGGAAUGUUUAUUUUAUUAUAGGAUCCCAAAGGAGAUUGCUAUUUCCUUUUUAAAUUUUCCCUGUCUUGCAUUGUUCCCCUGUAAAGCGUCUCCCUCUGGGCGCUCCCAGCUGAGGAGCCCGAGGUGGUUCUUCUCGGUAUGGACAGAACCAGAGGAGGGGUGACUCCAAUUCGAGAAGGUCUGAACCUGUUUACAUCUUCAGGAAGCCAAGCACCAGGACCUCGAAGUGAGCCAUUUUCCACGGCACGAAGGACAAACUGGUGCAGAUAAUCCGAAGGAUAGAUGACGUCAGCUUGUCUCAGGUCGCCUGACCAAAUUGCCCCCUGGUCAGGGUGCCUCUGAGGGGUGUGCGGUAGGACACCCUAGAUCUCUCUCCCAGUCUCUGCUCCAGUGGGGUCUGUGAGACUUACGGGGCCUUUACUCUCCCUAGCUUCGCUGUCCGGAUCUGAUUUAGGGGCUGGACUUGAUAACUUGCCAGGUCCCUCCAGCUUUAAUGUUACAAUUCCGUGGUCUUUGGGAGCUUGCAUUCCCAAACACCUCCAAAUAAGGAAACAAACCAAAGCCUCACGGAGCCCCGGAGAAGGCCUGAUUCAGGAUGGCGAUGUGGUGGCGGACUACGGUCCCCGCCUCCUGGUGUUCCCGCUCUUGUGUGACCACCUCCACUUGAGUGUGAGGCCCACCUGGGGCUUGCUCCUAACCUCCGGGAGGCGAUAGCGGAGUCGCGGGAGACACUCCCUUGCUGGCCUCGGAGAGGUGAGAUGCCGCACUGUGAACCAGAGCGUGGACGGGGCCACGUGGCAAAGAGCUGCGAUCAGCCUCUGGGCACGGAGUAGCCCCUGGCACCUCAGCCCUGAACCCCAAGGAGAGGAAUCCUGCCAACUAAGGUGGUAGUGUUUGUCACUCAGCAAAACAACACCGAUAAAACGGACAGCUUGGUCUCCUCCAUGGUGGCCCUUGACAAGUGACAGCUGCUUGGCCCAUGUCUGUGCAACAGACCCCCCACCCCCCAAGGUUUCACGGUCAGGUUGGCUCCUACUAUUCAGAUCUAAGAGGACCUCACAUAAGCUCCUGCCAGGUUUUGAUGGAGGGUGGAAAUGGAGUAGAAGACUGGCAAUCCCAAUGCUAAUAGGGCACUUAGCCGGGGGCCCGACGAUUGCAUCGGCCAGGAGUGAGGCCCAAGAGGGAUCGCUCACGGGGCUGGCGAAGCGAGCCCCAGAAGCAGGAGGAAUGCAGCAGGGGGUCUUGGGGGCCGUGGGGGACUGGGGAGCUCUUUCCAAUCAGCUGCAUGUCUGCAGCAGCCGGGGCGUGCCAGGCCGCUUGAGGGUCAGCAUCGGGGAAGGCAGGAGCGCCCCAGGGUAAAGAUGAAGGUACUCGGGCAAGACGACGGAGCUGCCUGGAGUCAGAAGGGACGCUUGAUGGGCACGCAUGGUGACUGGCCAACACAAUGGCUUUUAUCCCAAGCUGGAGGACCCAGGGCCAUUCGUGCAUCCCUGUCGAGAGCGGGAAGUGGUGUAUGGAGAUAGAGGGGUGACCCGAGUCCUUCCGGUGAGAGCUGGUGUCCAGUGAGGGGAGAGGAAAAGAAGUUCAACACACGCGUUGUCACAGUUGGAGUCUGAGGAGGGCUGGAAAAAUGCUGACCAGCCUGGAGGUGGCUCUGACCCGCGGCUAUUUGCAAAGGCAGGUGCGUGGGGAGUCUCUCCCCAGAUGGACUGACGGACGUGGCAGUCUCCUGGGGAAGGUGCCUUUAUGGGAUGAUCGGGAACUGCUUCCUGACAGCUGGGGUGCUUUUACCUUUAUAUGUAAAUUACUCAAAUGCACAGACCAGCAGCACCUGCUUUAGGAGGACCCUGGUUUCCGAAGUCUGCUGUGUCCUUGCAAUCUCUGACCACCGGGGUUCUGGACGUGUCUGUCGCCGUGACUCACGGACGUGCGUCUUCUGUCCUUUGACGCUGGCAUGGCCUGGCAUUCUAGGAAAGGCAAAGCCUUCGGGGUCAUCGUUUGUUUUCCCAUGAAGCUUCUAAAUACUGGAUGUUGGUGAAUAUAAAGGAAAUGGAAAGAAACAAAAAUGAUCUUUUUGGGUGCACCUUGGGAUUCUCCAAGUCUUUUUCACGUAUAACCUGGCGAGGCAGUGAGACCAGCAUUUAUCCUGGGAGACAAGAAACCAGACUCCGAAGUGGAAGAGGCAAAACCCUGGCCGAUCCGAAUCCUGGUCCGUUAGCUCUGGGCUGUGACCCCAUGAGCCGCUUAAGCGGGGAAGCCGCAGGGCAUGGAUGAAAAUAGCCGUCCGAUCGGCAUUCUGUGUGGAAGGGGGGCAGAGAUGUCAUGCCCAACUUUUGAAGGCUUCAGGAAUCUGCCCCCCGCCCCUGGUGCCUUCUCCUUUGUCCUGACAACUGUCAUUUGGACAUGUAACAGCCGUGUUUGGAUGUAAGUGGAUGUGACUCUGGCCAGCACUUGACUGAUAGGCUAAAUUAUCUGCAGCUGGCCCUCCCUGCGUCGGUGCCUUUGAAGGUUUGCUGCCUGCAGAGCGAGGGCCUCCUGCAGGAGGGGAGCGCCCCCAGAACAUCAGGGGACUGAGCCUUGGCGUGGGACUGGCGCUUGAAGAUGGCACUCUUCUUGGGGAGUAGCUCGUGGGCUGUAGGCACGUGAUAGACCGCAUCACUUGAGCAAAGGUCGAUAUCCCAGGAGUUUCUAACUCAGCUGGCUGAGAUUUUUCCCUGGGCAGGAUUCAAGGCCUGGCGCCUUUCCUGGGUGCCCGACUCACUUGCCCCCGUGGGACAGGGCUGUCCCGAGGAUGCAAGGGGAGGGUCAGGAGUGCCUCAUGGACAUGCUGCCUUCCCUUUGGCUUGGAGUGCGUGUGUCUGAGAAAAGGGAUUUGCUUCAGAAGGCCGAGAGAGCCCGAGGUGCUGAUCCAUCACUGCCUGCGUCCAAGGAGUGCAACGUUUCCUUGUGGCUCGUGGCUGCCCAUGUGGAUGCAGAGCCUGUAUCUCGCCUGGAAGGAAGGUGAAUUUUCUCAAUUUUCUGGGAAGUCUGAACAAGACGUACUCAGCUGCCAAAUGUUACUGAGAAUAAAAAGAAAGCAUCUUUUCGUCAUCAGUGUCUGCCCCCGACAGCGCUUGACAGCCCGGGUUCUGAAUAUUAACUUUUCCCAGUGGUUCAGUUCUUGUUAAAAUAGCAUUUCCCGGUUCAUCUCCACCUUGAACCUGAGGUUUGUGCAAAGAUUCUUCUUAGCCAACAUUCAGAACUCAUUUCGGAGGCAAGAGAUCUUGAAACUAUUUGAAGUCAACUGUUGGAAGCCUCCAAAGAAACGGAAAAGAAAGUUCAGUGCGUUCUACUUUGCAGGAGAAAGAGGAAAAGCAUGAGGAACAGAACUUACCCCGAGGAUUCAUUAAAAGAUGGCAAUGCAUUCAGCCGGAUUUCGGCAGCUACCUGCACAGUGCUGGGAUGUCCAUCCCACUAAUUCCUUUGGGCUCGCUCCAGAAACAUGGUUAUCUUAUAAAGCUUCAGUCACCUUUUCCCUAUACAAAUUAAGGCAAAGAAGUGAACUAAAGUAUUUAAAUGAGGAAGUUGAAAAAGAGAGUUUUCUGGGUAGCUCCGCUUUUCCAGAAGAUUCUGUCCAUCCAGAUUGUGCUGUCGCUAUGUGUCCCCACACACUGUGGGUUCAACGUGAAGUCUGGCCUCACACUGUUUCAGGGUCAGCUCAGUAGCACGAGUCUAAGGAAGUGGACUGGAAUGCUUUGGGCUCCUUAUUGAACUGGUCAGCUUUGGUGCUGUGACUGACGGGUCCAUCCUUCGAAUCCUUACUGGAGCAGGCGCAGAGGAAAGCUGACUCCCAGGAACCAGCCCCCUCAGAUUGCCCUUCAGAUGACACCAUCCCGACGAAACUCCAUGAAGAUGGGUGUUUCCGGAGAGCCGAGAAGCAUGGUUUGCUCUUUGUGAUCAAGCUGGUUCUGGUGGGUCACCUCAUGCUAAGUAUCAGAUACUAAAGUAACCAGUUUGGUCACUACCUGUACCCCUUAAAGAAAUUCUCAGAAAACAAGGACACAUGGAACAUCUCAGGAAAUUCAUUAAUUCACCUCAAAUCUUCCUCCUUCCAUUCUUAUGUAAUGCUGAGAGCCAAUUGCUAAAAAUCAAACAAAUGGACAUGUUGAAGAUAUCAACCAGUAGGAGACAACUUUGGGGGGGAACUUUUAAGUAAAAUGUAUUCAGAUGUGUUUGAAUUAUGCAUUGGUGAAGACAUUCAGAAUUUCCAUGACUGUAGCAACAAUGAUUACUGUUUGUUCUUAAGGGCAACACACAUGUUUCCAAGAUUUUGUUUUGUUUUGUUUGUUUUUCCUACAGAGCUAGGCUUUGCAAGACAAACAUGCUUAUCCUUUAGAGACAUGGGAUUUAAAAAUCUAUAAAUAAAAUG
Molecule: long non-coding RNA, 7085 nt
Organism: Mirounga angustirostris (Northern elephant seal)
Lineage: Eukaryota; Metazoa; Chordata; Mammalia; Carnivora; Phocidae
Exons: 2
Source: RefSeq, a predicted model, not a curated record